RNAcentral lists this ribosomal RNA (508 nucleotides) under uncultured bacterium. Its description in RNAcentral is "partial 16S ribosomal RNA". It matches the Rfam family "Bacterial small subunit ribosomal RNA", at positions 28 to 507 of the family's 1533-position model. The record is from RNAcentral.
GACGAACGCUGGCGGCGUGCCUAAUACAUGCAAGUCGAACGCUUCUUUCCUCCCGAGUGCUUGCACUCAAUUGGAAAGAGGAGUGGCGGACGGGUGAGUAACACGUGGGUAACCUACCCAUCAGAGGGGGAUAACACUUGGAAACAGGUGCUAAUACCGCAUAACAGUUUAUGCCGCAUGGCAUAAGAGUGAAAGGCGCUUUCUGGUGUCGCUGAUGGAUGGACCCGCGGUGCAUUAGCUAGUUGGUGAGGUAACGGCUCACCAAGGCCACGAUGCAUAGCCGACCUGAGAGGGUGAUCGGCCACACUGGGACUGAGACACGGCCCAGACUCCUACGGGAGGCAGCAGUAGGGAAUCUUCGGCAAUGGACGAAAGUCUGACCGAGCAACGCCGCGUGAGUGAAGAAGGUUUUCGGAUCGUAAAACUCUGUUGUUAGAGAAGAACAAGGACGUUAGUAACUGAACGUCCCCUGACGGUAUCUAACCAGAAAGCCACGGCUAACUACGUG